AGGUCGUUAGCUCAGUGGUAGAGCAGCGGACUUUUAAUCCGUUUGUCACAGGUUCAAAUCCUGUACGACCUA
Transfer RNA from Candidatus Nasuia deltocephalinicola str. NAS-ALF, 72 nucleotides. It matches the Rfam family "tRNA". From Rfam's summary of the family: Transfer RNA (tRNA) molecules are approximately 80 nucleotides in length. The record is from Rfam. NCBI's taxonomy places the organism in Bacteria, Pseudomonadati, Pseudomonadota, Betaproteobacteria.